GGCUAGUGGCGGACGGGUGAGUAACGCGUGGGAAUCUGCCCUCAGGAGGGGGAUAACGGCCGGAAACGGCCGCUAAUACCCCAUAUGCCGAGAGGUGAAAUGAAUUUCGCCUGAGGAUGAGCCCGCGUCUGAUUAGCUAGUUGGUGGGGUAAUGGCCCACCAAGGCGACGAUCAGUAGCUGGUCUGAGAGGAUGAUCAGCCACACUGGGACUGAGACACGGCCCAGACUCCUACGGGAGGCAGCAGUGGGGAAUUUUCCGCAAUGGGCGAAAGCCUGACGGAGCAACGCCGCGUGAGGGAUGAAGGCCUCUGGGCUGUAAACCUCUUUUCUCAAGGAAGAAGACAUGACGGUACUUGAGGAAUAAGCCACGGCUAAUUCCGUGCCAGCAGCCGCGGUAAUACGGGAGUGGCAAGCGUUAUCCGGAAUUAUUGGGCGUAAAGCGUCCGCAGGCGGCCUUGUAAGUCUGUCGUUAAAGCGUGGAGCUUAACUCCAUUUCAGCGAUGGAAACUACAAGGCUUGAGUGUGGUAGGGGCAGAGGGAAUUCCCGGUGUAGCGGUGAAAUGCGUAGAUAUCGGGAAGAACACCAGUGGCGAAGGCGCUCUGCUGGGCCAUAACUGACGCUCAUGGACGAAAGCCAGGGGAGCGAAAGGGAUUAGAUACCCCUGUAGUCCUGGCCGUAAACGAUGAACACUAGGUGUCGGGGGAAUCGACCCCCUCGGUGUCGUAGCUAACGCGUUAAGUGUUCCGCCUGGGGAGUACGCACGCAAGUGUGAAACUCAGAGGAAUUGACGGGGGCCCGCACAAGCGGUGGAGUAUGUGGUUUAAUUCGAUGCAACGCGAAGAACCUUACCAGGGUUUGACAUCCUGCGAAUCCCUUGGAAACGAGGGAGUGCCUUCGGGAGCGCAGAGACAGGUGGUGCAUGGCUGUCGUCAGCUCGUGUCGUGAGAUGUUGGGUUAAGUCCCGCAACGAGCGCAACCCACGUCUUUAGUUGCCAGCAUUCAGUUGGGCACUCUAGAGAGACCGCCGGUGAUAAACCGGAGGAAGGUGUGGAUGACGUCAAGUCAUCAUGCCCCUUACAUCCUGGGCUACACACGUACUACAAUGCUACGGACAAAGGGUUGCAAGCUCGCGAGAGUUAGCUAAUCCCAUAAACCGUGGCUCAGUUCAGAUCGUAGGCUGCAACUCGCCUACGUGAAGGAGGAAUCGCUAGUAAUCGCAGGUCAGCAUACUGCGGUGAAUACGUUCCCGGGCCUUGUACACACCGCCCGUCACACCAUGGAAGUUGGCCAUGCCCGAAGUCGUUACUCCAACCCUUGUGGAGGAGGACGCCGAAGGUGGGGCUGAUGACUGGGGUGAAGUCGUAACAAGGUAGCCGUACCGGAAGGUGCGGCUGGAUCACCUCCU
Molecule: ribosomal RNA, 1407 nt
Filed under: Synechococcus sp. BE0807K
Lineage: Bacteria; Bacillati; Cyanobacteriota; Cyanophyceae; Synechococcales; Synechococcaceae
Description: 16S ribosomal RNA
Rfam family: Bacterial small subunit ribosomal RNA
Source: RNAcentral